Molecule: ribosomal RNA, 254 nt
Filed under: uncultured bacterium
Lineage: Bacteria
Description: partial 16S ribosomal RNA
Rfam family: Bacterial small subunit ribosomal RNA
Source: RNAcentral
UACGAAGGGGGCUAGCGUUGCUCGGAAUCACUGGGCGUAAAGGGUGCGUAGGCGGGUCUUUAAGUCAGGGGUGAAAUCCUGGAGCUCAACUCCAGAACUGCCUUUGAUACUGAAGAUCUUGAGUCCGGGAGAGGUGAGUGGAACUGCGAGUGUAGAGGUGAAAUUCGUAGAUAUUCGCAAGAACACCAGUGGGCAGAAGGCGCUCACUGGCCCGAUACUGACGCUGAGGCACGAAAGCGUGGGGAGCAAACAGG